RNAcentral lists this ribosomal RNA (483 nucleotides) under uncultured bacterium. RNAcentral's name for it is "bacterial SSU rRNA". It matches the Rfam family "Bacterial small subunit ribosomal RNA", at positions 30 to 506 of the family's 1533-position model. The record is from RNAcentral.
AUUGAACGCUGGCGGAAUGCUUUACACAUGCAAGUCGAACGGCAGCACGGACUUCGGUCUGGUGGCGAGUGGCGAACGGGUGAGUAAUAUAUCGGAACGUGCCCAGUCGUGGGGGAUAACGUAGUGAGAAUUACGCUAAUACCGCAUACGAUCUAUGGAUGAAAGCGGGGGAUCGCAAGACCUCGUGCGAUUGGAGUGGCCGAUAUCAGAUUAGGUAGUUGGUGAGGUAAAGGCUCACCAAGCCAACGAUCUGUAGCUGGUCUGAGAGGACGACCAGCCACACUGGAACUGAGACACGGUCCAGACUCCUACGGGAGGCAGCAGUGGGGAAUUUUGGACAAUGGACGCAAGUCUGAUCCAGCCAUUCCGCGUGCAGGACGAAGGCCUUCGGGUUGUAAACUGCUUUUGUACAGAACGAAAAGGUCUCUAUUAAUACUGGGGGCUCAUGACGGUACUGUAAGAAUAAGCACCGGCUAACUACGU